AUACGUAGGGUGCAAGCGUUAAUCGGAAUUACUGGGCGUAAAGCGUGUGUAGGCGGUUCGGAGAGAAAGAUGUGAAAUCCCAGGGCUCAACCUUGGAACUGCAUUUUUAACUGCCGAGCUAGAGUAUGUCAGAGGGGGGUAGAAUUCCACGUGUAGCAGUGAAAUGCGUAGAUAUGUGGAGGAAUACCGAUGGCGGAGGCAGCCCCCUGGGAUAAUACUGACGCUCAGACACGAAAGCGUGGGGAGC
RNAcentral lists this ribosomal RNA (247 nucleotides) under uncultured bacterium. Its description in RNAcentral is "partial 16S ribosomal RNA". It matches the Rfam family "Bacterial small subunit ribosomal RNA", at positions 523 to 769 of the family's 1533-position model. The record is from RNAcentral.